RNAcentral lists this ribosomal RNA (808 nucleotides) under uncultured Myxococcales bacterium. RNAcentral's name for it is "bacterial SSU rRNA". It matches the Rfam family "Bacterial small subunit ribosomal RNA", at positions 100 to 886 of the family's 1533-position model. The record is from RNAcentral. Lineage: Bacteria; Pseudomonadati; Myxococcota; Myxococcia; Myxococcales.
GCACGGGUGAGUAAACGUGGGUAACCUUCCCAGACGUGGUGGAUAACCUGCCGAAAGGCGGGCUAAUACAGCAUAAUCCCUUUGAUCUUCGGGUUGGAGGUGAAAGCAGGCCUCUGUUCACAAGCUUGCGCGUUUGGAUGGGCUCGCGUCCCAUCAGCUAGUUGGUGAGGUAACGGCUCACCAAGGCGACGACGGGUAGCUGGUCUGAGAGGAUGGCCAGCCACACUGGAACUGAGACACGGUCCAGACUCCUACGGGAGGCAGCAGUGGGGAAUCUUGCGCAAUGGACGGAAGUCUGACGCAGCGACGCCGCGUGGGCGACGAAGGCCUUCGGGUUGUAAAGCCCUGUGGGGAGGGACGAACACUUCGGAUUCAAAUAGGGUCCGGAGCUGACGGUACCUCCUUAGCAAGCACCGGCUAACUCUGUGCCAGCAGCCGCGGUAAGACAGAGGGUGCAAACGUUGCUCGGAAUUACUGGGCGUAAAGCGCGUGUAGGCGGUUUCGCAAGUCAGGUGUGAAAGCCCGGGGCUCAACCCCGGAAGUGCACUUGAUACUACGGAGCUUGAGUACUGAAGAGGAGAGCGGAAUUCCCGGUGUAGAGGUGAAAUUCGUAGAUAUCGGGAGGAACACCAGUGGCGAAGGCGGCUCUCUGGGCAGAUACUGACGCUGAGACGCGAAAGCAUGGGGAGCAAACAGGAUUAGAUAUCCUGGUAGUCCAUGCUGUAAACGAUGAGAACUGGGUGUUGUGGGUAUUGACCCCCGCGGUGCCGAAGCCAACGCGUUAAGUUCUCCGCCUGGGAAGUACGGC